This is a long non-coding RNA of Corticium candelabrum, 743 nucleotides long. RefSeq lists it as uncharacterized. The transcript has 3 exons. Lineage: Eukaryota; Metazoa; Porifera; Homoscleromorpha; Homosclerophorida; Plakinidae. The record is from RefSeq and is a predicted model, not a curated record.
UUUGAUAUUUAUUAGUACUUUCACAGGGUUUGUCACCGGAAGUGAUCUACAACAUGGACAAUCAUCCCGAUUUCUCCUAUCUCGUUGGCCAGGUCGCAACCAAUCUGAAAGAGACCCUUCCGAGGGAUUUUCCAGGUGUCGUGCAGAUUGUAGAAAUCAUAGGUCCUGAUGAAUUCGUUCCCGAAGACUACUGUCCGACUCGCCUUCGUCUGUUCGUGGAUAAAGAUGGCGUCAUCAUCAGACCUCCGCGCCUGGCAUAGACGAACUGUGAGACGCUCAAAAACGUUCUGUAAAGAUAGCUGGUUACAGGUACACUGUACAGAGGUAGAACACAGAAUGUUGAUGUACAUCCGGGAAACCACACGGCUGUCAUCUUGAAGUUGAUGCUAGACGAUUUCAUAUUAGGAUGCGUUAAUUAAGUUAAGACUCGUCUGAUUUCUAUGUAACAAAAAAUCCGUCGACGUCCAGUUCCCACUAGCCUACAAUGUAAGUCUUUCAGGCUGAAAUUCGAAAGAACAUACAAAGCACUCUCAGAUCUAGAGUCUGGAGCCUAAAACCGUUCCCUAAUACUUUAGCUAAGUAAUGAUUUACGUAAUUGAUAUUAAUUGAUUUGUCUAAAUAUAAUCAGCAAAAUUGAGUAGAGGGAAUAGAAGCAAACAGCUCCACACCCAUCAAGUGGAUUGGAUUUCAUAUGAAGACAUCCAUGAUCAUGUAAUGAGGGAGCUAUGCCUUACAAUAGCUGG